RNAcentral lists this ribosomal RNA (870 nucleotides) under uncultured Flavobacteriia bacterium. Its description in RNAcentral is "bacterial SSU rRNA". It matches the Rfam family "Bacterial small subunit ribosomal RNA", at positions 8 to 884 of the family's 1533-position model. The record is from RNAcentral. Lineage: Bacteria; Pseudomonadati; Bacteroidota; Flavobacteriia.
AGAGUUUGAUCCUGGCUCAGGAUGAACGCUAGCGGCAGGCUUAACACAUGCAAGUCGAGGGGUAUAUGUCUUCGGAUAUAGAGACCGGCGCACGGGUGCGUAACGCGUAUGCAAUCUACCUUUUACAGGGGAAUAGCCCAGAGAAAUUUGGAUUAAUGCCCCAUAGUAUAAUUGAAUGGCAUCAUUUAAUUAUUAAAGUCACAACGGUAAAAGAUGAGCAUGCGUCCCAUUAGUUAGUUGGUAAGGUAACGGCUUACCAAGACAAUGAUGGGUAGGGGUCCUGAGAGGGAGAUCCCCCACACUGGUACUGAGACACGGACCAGACUCCUACGGGAGGCAGCAGUGAGGAAUAUUGGACAAUGGGCGCAAGCCUGAUCCAGCCAUGCCGCGUGCAGGAAGACGGUCCUAUGGAUUGUAAACUGCUUUUGUACAGGAAGAAACACUCCUACGUGUAGGAACUUGACGGUACUGUAAGAAUAAGGAUCGGCUAACUCCGUGCCAGCAGCCGCGGUAAUACGGAGGAUCCAAGCGUUAUCCGGAAUCAUUGGGUUUAAAGGGUCCGUAGGCGGUCUAAUAAGUCAGUGGUGAAAGCCCAUCGCUCAACGAUGGAACGGCCAUUGAUACUGUUAGACUUGAAUUAUAAGGAAGUAACUAGAAUAUGUAGUGUAGCGGUGAAAUGCUUAGAUAUUACAUGGAAUACCAAUUGCGAAGGCAGGUUACUACUUAUGGAUUGACGCUGAUGGACGAAAGCGUGGGGAGCGAACAGGAUUAGAUACCCUGGUAGUCCACGCCGUAAACGAUGGAUACUAGCUGUUGGAAGCAAUUUCAGUGGCUAAGCGAAAGUGAUAAGUAUCCCACCUGGGGAGUACG